This 493-nucleotide ribosomal RNA is filed under the name uncultured bacterium. RNAcentral describes it as "partial 16S ribosomal RNA". It matches the Rfam family "Bacterial small subunit ribosomal RNA", at positions 28 to 507 of the family's 1533-position model. The record is from RNAcentral.
GACGAACGCUGGCGGCGUGCUUAACACAUGCAAGUCGACGACGCUACUGAGUAGCAAUAUUUAGUAGUGGAGUGGCGCAAGGGUGAGUAAUGUAUACGUAACCAACCCAUCGGAGACGGAUAACAUUUCGAAAGGGAUGCUAAAACGGCAUGAAGCCACGAUUUCGCAUGAGAUUGUGGUUAAAGAACCGGUAACAGGUUGCCGAUGGCUGGGCGUAUAUCCGAUUAGCUAGUUGGUAGUGUAAUGGACUACCAAGGCGACGAUCGGUAGCUGGUCUGAGAGGAUGAUCAGCCACACUGGCACUGAGACACGGGCCAGACUCCUACGGGAGGCAGCAGUGGGGAAUAUUGGGCAAUGCCCGCAAGGGUGACCCAGCAACGCCGUGUGGAGGAUGAAGGCCGUAAGGUUGUAAACUCUGACAAGCAGGGAAGAACGGCUAUGGUAAAAGGCCAUAGAAUGACGGUACCUGCCUGAAGCCCCGGCUAACUACGUG